This 470-nucleotide ribosomal RNA is filed under the name uncultured bacterium. RNAcentral's name for it is "bacterial SSU rRNA". It matches the Rfam family "Bacterial small subunit ribosomal RNA", at positions 28 to 494 of the family's 1533-position model. The record is from RNAcentral.
GAUGAACGCUAGCGGCAGGCCUAAUACAUGCAAGACGAACGGUAAGUUGAGUAGCAAUACUUAGCCAAGAGUGUCGUACGGGUGCGUAACACGUAUGCAACCUACCCUAUACAGGAGGAUAGCCUAGGGAAACCUGGAUUAACCCUUCAUAGUAUUAUUGGAUGGCAUCAUUUGAUAAUUAAAACUGAGGUGGUAUAGGAUGGGCAUGCGUCUGAUUAGUUAGUUGGCGGGGUAAUGGCCCACCAAGACGAUGAUCAGUAGGGGUUCUGAGAGGAAGAUCCCCCACACUGGCACUGAGAUACGGGCCAGACUCCUACGGGAGGCAGCAGUAGGGAAUAUUGGUCAAUGGAUGCAAGUCUGAACCAGCCAUGCCGCGUGCAGGAAGAAGGCCUUCUGGGUUGUAAACUGCUUUUGCCAGGGGAUAAAAUUUCCAUGCGUGGAAAACUGAAGGUACCUGGUGAAUAAGCCAC